UUUUAUUUUCCACCUGUCCUACCUUCUUCUCUCUCAGGCCUAUUAUUUCUCCCAUCUCCUUGCAGCGACUCAAAAAAAUCCCCUUGCAGCCGCCACCGUAAGCCCCCGCCGCCAGCCCACAACGGAGUCCCGGUCGUCGGCUCUCCGGUGCUCUCCGCCUCCCUAGAAGGUCGUAUCUCGCCGCCGUCCCGAACUCGCCGGCUCUCUCCACCCCUGAGGUCUCAUAUCUCCCAAGGAUCCUCUCCAACCCGGAGUUCCUCGCGGAGGGCACCGACUGACACCGGCCUGCGGAGGCGAGGCAGGCCGCCCCUCCUCCGACCAUCCAACCAUAGCAGCGUUGCUCCUCCGACGAGCGGAGGGGCUCUCCUCUCCCAUCGGCCAGCGCCUCGACUCCGACUCCUACAGAUCGCGCCGGCCAACAUCCUCUGUCGCCUAAUCUUAACCACACCGUGUUCCUUCGGACAUCGUCGUGAACCUCCAAGCAGAUAAGCCAACCUUCAUGUGUAUCUCCCGUUAUAUCUCUACUCUAUUCUUCUCUGCUCUGUUUUUCAGGAAGAAGCUGGAUUGGUGGCCGUUUCCGGUUUCCAGCAUGCAGAUGGGUAUGCCAACGGGCAACGGCUGUUCCUUGGUUGAACUAUGCAAUGCAUCUCGCUGAAUUCCAAGCUGUACUAUUUUGGGUCUGCAUACAUACCCAAGCAGGGGAGAUAAAAGCUGCAAGUUGGGUAGAAAGCUUGCAUGAUUCUCGAUAGCAGUUUACAUACAUGCCUGAAUAUGUUCAAGAUGCAUUGCAUUGCGGCACCAUCAACGGUUCAGUCGACUGUCAAACACACAGACGCAUCGGACAUCGAAAGCGAAGGGCACCCAACUCUCAAGGGUGCAAGCAGAAAAAGAAGAAGCCAUUGGAAUAAUCUGAUCCUUUUCAGGGGCUAAUUGAGACCAGAAGAGGAAACAUCCAUUUCUGUACAUCAAGAAGCAUAGCAGAAAAAUUCAAUGUGUGCCCAUUGUUGCCUCUGAUCUCUCUAUGUUCUUCACCGCCCCAUUGCCCAGCCACAUUCAUAGUGAAAAGAACCAUGUCUUUACAAAACAAACAUACAAGGUGGACCUGCUUUACUACCUGUUUUAUGAUGAUUAGUCCAUCUGAUCAACCGAGGAUCGACAUCUCUGUUUCUGUUUAUGGUGGGCAAGGAGGAGGAGCGAUCUCUCUACCGUGGGCACCCACUGCAGCUACUGCCGAAGUAUGAGCAAUCCCCGAUGCCAAGAUCAUAGAGCAAUCUCUUACAAUUUUGCGCUUUUGGCCGUGCGUCCUCUCUUCGGCUCUGAGGCCGAUUUCGCUACUCUCCCACUGAGGUUCUCAGUUCAUGGAAUCAUUGUUUGGAUCUUCUUCCCGGUGCCAAAAUAUGUUGAUACGCCCUCUGUACAAGAAUCUGCGAGGUGUUUUCCUGUAGUCUGCCCAUUUUGCCCAGUGCAAGUUCUGUUUGAAAUUUCUUAUCGGUGCUUAACCAAUAUAUGUAGCCUGAUAGUUUAUUGAACAUUUAUUCCAUCUUAUUCUGUCCCUAAAACAGUUUUUUGUGAAAAAAAUAUUUUUACAGGACUGAUAGAUAAAUUGGUGUUGUAGCCUAGAAGCAGAAACAUAUCCCAUAACAAACAUUUACUUUUUUUCUUAAGAAUAUUGCAACUGUCAUCUGGAUUGUGACAAAUUUAUCUGAGUUGAUCUUCUCAAACUUGAUUGCCUUUUUCGGGAGAAUAAAAGGGCACUCUUUACGCCAUCCUUGAUUUCAUCAUAUAUGUCUAGGUGUCGUCCUUCUACCACUCUACAACCACCAGCACUCAAAUUUCCCAUCUAUAGAUGUGUGUACUCCAUGUGUUUGAUGGGAUGUACAAGAGAAAAAUCAUAGACCCACUGGCAGGGGCCUUAUCUUUUGUUGAGUAGGGGUGCAUGCUUCAGACUAAAACUUGGUGGGUUUCAUUGAUAAUCAUAUAGUAUCACGAUCACAAUUCUUCUGAUGUAAUUCAGGUACAUAUCUUGACUGAGUUACCUUUCUUAGAUUACGGCAUCUUGCACUCCUAUUCUUUAAAGGAUUUGGUCUUCCCAACAUUACACGGUGUACAUGCAUGUUCUUCAUGCAAAUUAUGAGUUCAUACCUGUAAAAUUAACAUAUUGUACGCUUCCAACUAAGUACUGACUACCCUUUUUUUUUAUUCUCCAUAUCAUAUACCGAGUGGAGGAAUUACGUUGGAGUGGUGGUGGCGUUCUAAUGGAUGUUUCCUCACCUGAAAUAAUAUGAAAUAAAUCACGUUUGUGCUUUGUUUGAUGUUUUCCUGGUCUGCUCACAUGCUUAUGUAAUAGUUCCCUCGGAUUGUAGGAACGAGCUUCAUAUAGAUAGGCAGAAAUAUGUUUAUGAUCAAUCAAAGACAAUAGGAACAUCUACUAAAAACUUUAUGAGUGUGUAUCAUAUGAAUUACUUUGAUUGCAAGUCCAACGAUCUUAUUAUUAACUAAGUUUGGAAACAUAUGCGCCGUUAGUUUUUAUCUCUAGCUCUUGCCUUCUGUACGUACUGA
This 2559-nucleotide ribosomal RNA is filed under the name Triticum aestivum (bread wheat). RNAcentral's name for it is "partial small subunit ribosomal RNA". Lineage: Eukaryota; Viridiplantae; Streptophyta; Magnoliopsida; Poales; Poaceae. The record is from RNAcentral.